RNAcentral lists this ribosomal RNA (408 nucleotides) under uncultured bacterium. RNAcentral's name for it is "bacterial SSU rRNA". It matches the Rfam family "Bacterial small subunit ribosomal RNA", at positions 357 to 777 of the family's 1533-position model. The record is from RNAcentral.
GGGAAUAUUGCACAAUGGGCGGAAGCCUGAUGCAGCAACGCCGCGUGCGGGAUGACGGCCUUCGGGUUGUAAACCGCUUUCGCCUGUGACGAAGCGUGAGUGACGGUAAUGGGUAAAGAAGCACCGGCUAACUACGUGCCAGCAGCCGCGGUGAUACGUAGGGUGCGAGCGUUGUCCGGAUUUAUUGGGCGUAAAGGGCUCGUAGGUGGUUGAUCGCGUCGGAAGUGUAAUCUUGGGGCUUAACCCUGAGCGUGCUUUCGAUACGGGUUGACUUGAGGAAGGUAGGGGAGAAUGGAAUUCCUGGUGGAGCGGUGGAAUGCGCAGAUAUCAGGAGGAACACCAGUGGCGAAGGCGGUUCUCUGGGCCUUUCCUGACGCUGAGGAGCGAAAGCGUGGGGAGCGAACAGGC